RNAcentral lists this transfer RNA (73 nucleotides) under Camelus bactrianus (Bactrian camel). It matches the Rfam family "tRNA". From Rfam's summary of the family: Transfer RNA (tRNA) molecules are approximately 80 nucleotides in length. Their secondary structure includes four short double-helical elements and three loops (D, anti-codon, and T loops). Lineage: Eukaryota; Metazoa; Chordata; Mammalia; Artiodactyla; Camelidae. The record is from Rfam by way of RNAcentral. RNAcentral also lists the same sequence under 2 other names.
GGGGGUAUAGCUCAAGUGGUAGAGUGCAUGCUUAGUAUGCACAAGGUCCCGGGUUCAACCCCCAGUACCCCCU